Long non-coding RNA from Mirounga angustirostris (Northern elephant seal), 2012 nucleotides. RefSeq lists it as uncharacterized. The record is from RefSeq and is a predicted model, not a curated record. Lineage: Eukaryota; Metazoa; Chordata; Mammalia; Carnivora; Phocidae. The transcript has 3 exons.
GAGCAGCCUGCUGAACAGUCCUCAAAGGAGGCAGCUGGGGAUAGUGGGCAACAUCUUCUUGGAGAUGGACCCAGCCUUGGGAGGGCCUAGGUUCAGGCCGGUCCUCCAGUGCCCAGCCAGGAUUUGGGCAGAGAAGGAGAUGCUCGCUCGCCUUCAUGCCUGCCUCCCAGAUCCAGCACCCGGCCUUGGAGUAGGGGCGCUGGGCAGCGACCCUGAGGUUCAGGCACACACUUAAGACUCAUCCAAUUCGGAGGACCUAAGGAGGCUCCCAGAUUUUAUUUGACAGAGAGCGAACGAGAGAGCACAAGCAGGGGGAGUGGCAGAGGGAGAGGGAGAAGCAGACUCCCCGCUGAGCAGGGAGCCCAUGCAGGGCUCCAUCCAAGGACCCUGGGAUCAUGACCUGAGCUGAAGGCAAACACCCAACUGACUGAGCCACCCAGGCACCCAAUGUAAUGACUUGUGAUGUAAGUGUACAUUCAUUAACCAUUACAACAAUCUAAAUAAUGAGCAUAUAUCACCCCCAAAUUUUCCCAUUAUUUUAUUUGUUUGUUUGUUUAUUGUAGGCUCCACGCACAGUAUGGAGCCCAGUGGGGGGCUUGAACUCAUAACCCUGAGAUCAAGACCUGAGCUGAGAUCAAGGGUCAGAUGUCUAACCAACUGAGGCACCCCUCUCCAUGUCCUUUUUAUUUUUUUCCCCCAUAUCCUUUUUCAAUUCCCUUCUCCUGACCACCCCCCACCCUGAGUUUUUAAUUUUGAUGAAAUGUAACUUUUUUUUUUUUAAGAUUUUAUUUAUUUAUUUGAGAGAGAGAGAAUGAGAGAGAGCACAUGAGAGGGGGGAGGGUCAGAGGGAGAAGCAGACUCCCUGCCGAGCAGGGAGCCCGGUGCGGGACUCGAUCCCGGGACUCCAGGAUCAUGACCCGAGCCGAAGGCAGUCGCUCAACCAACUGAGCCAUCCAGGCGCCCUUAUUUAUUUAUUUUUUUUUAAAGAUUUUAUUUAUUUAUUUGAGAGAGAGAGAAUGAGAGACAGAGAGCAUGAGAGGGAGGAGGGUCAGAGGGAGAAGCAGACUCCCCGCCGAGCAGGGAGCCUGAUGCGGGACUCGAUCCCGGGACUCCAGGAUCAUGACCUGAGCCGAAGGCAGUCGCUUAACCAACUGAGCCACCCAGGCGCCCCCAGGCGCCCUUAUUAAUUCAAUAUUGUACUGGAGGUCCUAACUAAUACUAUAAGACAAGAAAAAUAAAUAAAAAGCAUCCAGAUUGGAAAGGGAGAGGUAAACCUCUCUUUAUUCACAGACAUGUGAAAAGUCUUAAGGAAUUUACAUAGGAGCUACUAAAACUAAUAAAUGAGUUUAGCAAGGUUGGAGGAUACAAGUUAAUAUGCAAAAAUUAAUUCUAUAUACACUAGCAAUGACCAUUUAGAAUUUGAAAUUGAUAAAAGUAAUACCAUUUACAAUAGCAUCAGAAAUAUGAAAAACUUAGGGACAAAUUUGACUAAAAAUAUACAAGAUCUGUAUGUUGAAAAUUACAAAACACUGUUGAGAGAAAUUAAAGAUAACUUGACUGAAUGGAGAGCUAUACCAUCCUCAAGGAUGAGAGGACUCAAUAUUAAGAUGUCAGUUCUCCCCAAAUUAGUCUACAGAUGCAAUGCAAUACCAACCAAAUCCCAGUAGGCUUUUUAAAAAAAUACAAAUUAGCUGAUACUAAAGUUUACAUGGAAAUACAAAAGACUCUGAAUAGCCAAAACAAUUUUGAGAAAGAACGAGUUUGGAUGAUUUAUACUACCCUAUUUCAAAACUUAUUAAAAAGUUACAGUGGGGCGCCUGGGUGGCUCAGUCGGUUAAACGUCUGUCUUGGGCUCAGGUCAUGGUCCCAGGGUCCUGGGAUCAAGCCCCGCAUCGGGCUCCCUGCUCAGCGGGAAGCUGGCUUCUCCCUCUGCCUGCCUCACCCCCUGCUUGUGCUAUCUAUCAAAUAAAUAAAUAAAAUAAAAAAUCUUUUAAAAAAAGCUACAGUAAUCA